This 474-nucleotide ribosomal RNA is filed under the name uncultured bacterium. RNAcentral's name for it is "bacterial SSU rRNA". It matches the Rfam family "Bacterial small subunit ribosomal RNA", at positions 328 to 793 of the family's 1533-position model. The record is from RNAcentral.
CGCUAUCACUCCUACGGGAGGCAGCAGUGGGGAAUAUUGCACAAUGGGGGAAACCCUGAUGCAGCCAUGCCGCGUGUGUGAAGAAGGCCUUCGGGUUGUAAAGCACUUUCAGUAGGGAGGAAGGUAGUGUAGUUAACACCUGCAUUAUUUGACGUUACCUACAGAAGAAGCACCGGCUAACUCCCGUGCCAGCAGCCGCGGUAAUACGGAGGGUGCGAGCGUUAAUCGGAAUUACUGGGCGUAAAGCGCAUGCAGGCGGCCUGUUAAGUCAGAUGUGAAAGCCCGGGGCUUAACCUCGGAAUUGCAUUUGAAACUGGCAGGCUAGAGUCUUGUAGAGGGGGUAGAAUUUCAGGUGUAGCGGUGAAAAUGCGUAGAGAUCUGAAGGAAUACCAGUGGCGAAGGCGGCCCCCUGGACAAAGACUGACGCUCAGAUGCGAAAGCGUGGGGAGCAAACAGGAUUAGAUACCCUGGUAG